Small nucleolar RNA from Phragmites australis (common reed), 139 nucleotides. RefSeq annotates it as small nucleolar RNA Z247. The transcript has a single exon. The record is from RefSeq and is a predicted model, not a curated record. Lineage: Eukaryota; Viridiplantae; Streptophyta; Magnoliopsida; Poales; Poaceae.
CCAUUAGAUGAAGAAGAUCUAGUAGCUUAUAUUCUAAAUGGUUUAGAUGAGGACUAUGAACCUGCUAUUUCCGGUUUGAUGACAAGGGUAGAACCUGUCACUUUGGGAGAAUUAUAUUCUGUGCUGCUAAACUUUGAGA